Molecule: non-coding RNA, 156 nt
Organism: Beta vulgaris subsp. vulgaris (sugar beet)
Lineage: Eukaryota; Viridiplantae; Streptophyta; Magnoliopsida; Caryophyllales; Amaranthaceae
Source: Rfam
AGUGCCAUAAUGGUCUUUUAGCCUAAAACGGGAGAAAGUUUUGAUUGACACAAUUGGUAAUAGCGAUUGGCUGAAAAGCUCAUGGCGCAAAGCUAGCGUGUAUCAGAUUAUAGUUGAGCGUCUCAAAGUUUGAAAUCGAGCUAUAAGCAAUGCACU